GAACCUGGGAGGUUUGUUUGACGCAAGACCAGUGUUGAAUUCACCAUUUGGUGCCAUAGUUGUUGUUGUAAGAUGUUAGUCAAACUUCAACGGUACUUGGCUCUGAUACCACUUGUUGGAUCGUGAUCCGAGGCUAUAAGGGGGGAUAAUAGCAUCUUUUCGAUUUAUACAGGUUGAUUGCAGAAUUACCUGUAAACACUUAAUAAAUAAAUGGUUGAACAAUAAUGAUAUAGCGAUAUUAUGACUUUGAUUGAUAUAAUAACGUAAUUAUUACUCUUCGAAGCUUACCACAGUAUAUGAAUACUGAGUCAACUUGCUUGAUAGUGUUUUACAAACAACUAUAGUAUAUGAGUACUAAGUUAUAUUGUAAGCACAAAUUGUAUUGUAGAGUAAAUGACCAGAUAACUGGAUAUAUUGAUAAGCAAGUAAAUGACCAAAUAACUUGAUAUAUUGAUAAGCAAGUAAAUGACCAGAUAACUAGAUAUAAAUGAUAAGUAAAUGCUUGAACAAAUAUAUGAAUAAGGAUUUAAAGCAAUGAAUAUAACCUCAGAUAGUUGACCAGAUAACUGGAUGAGGGAUCUGCGUAAAGUAGUCAACCUCUGUAUUUGACCAGAUAACUGGAAGAGGGAUCCUUUUCAAUUAAGUGUUGUUUAGUUGUUUUUAGAUGAAAGAUAAAAACUAAAGUUAACAAAUAACAACACAAGAGAUUUAUACUGGUUCACCCAAACAAGGGCUAUUCCAGUCCCGACCAACUGUCGGAAUUCACUCGCCUAAAGGUUACGGCAAAACCUUAGAGUAUCAAGGAAACUCUUAAGAACCUCUCUAAGCUUUAAGGCUACUUCGCUUAGGAACCAGUCUUUUACGGGUAGACUCACACCUUAGAGUAUCAAGGGCACUCUUAAGAACUUCUAACUUCUGCGGGUAAGUUAGUACCUUAGAGUAUCAAGGAAUUCUUAAAAACCUCUCUAAGCUUUAAGGCUACUUCGCUUAAGAACCAGUCUUUUACGGGUAGACUCACACCUUAGAGUAUCAAGGGACUCUUAAAAACCUAGAAAUCUUUCAAGGUAGAUUCGACCUAAGAGUUUUCCCGAAAACUCUAUAAAACCAAACUAGAACUUUAUGGUUGAGCUCGAAAACCUUCUCUCACACUUUGGUACUAUUGAGACAACCCUCUCAACCAAAGUGGACACACACAAGAGGAGAUUAGAGGAGUGGAAUAUUAAAGCAAACAACACUUCUUACUUGUAAAGAUGAACAAGAAGAUUAUAAGAAGAAGUUGCAGAGCUUUUGAAGCUUUGGAAAGCUAGGACACUUGAGCACUUGAAAGCUUGGAAGCUUGGAGGCAAAAACGUGUGGGCAAGUGUGGAGUGAAAUCUCUUGAGUUUGCUUGUAGUGUGGUGAGUGAAAAUGAGGGGAUUACCCUUCUAUUUAUAGCCUUGGCCACUCA
This 1447-nucleotide long non-coding RNA is filed under the name Zostera marina. RNAcentral describes it as "long non-coding RNA (ZMAR_LNC006031)". The record is from RNAcentral. Lineage: Eukaryota; Viridiplantae; Streptophyta; Magnoliopsida; Alismatales; Zosteraceae.